This 572-nucleotide ribosomal RNA is filed under the name Escherichia coli. RNAcentral describes it as "bacterial SSU rRNA". It matches the Rfam family "Bacterial small subunit ribosomal RNA", at positions 603 to 1175 of the family's 1533-position model. The record is from RNAcentral. Lineage: Bacteria; Pseudomonadati; Pseudomonadota; Gammaproteobacteria; Enterobacterales; Enterobacteriaceae.
CCGGGCUCAACCUGGGAACUGCAUCUGAUACUGGCAAGCUUGAGUCUCGUAGAGGGGGGUAGAAUUCCAGGUGUAGCGGUGAAAUGCGUAGAGAUCUGGAGGAAUACCGGUGGCGAAGGCGGCCCCCUGGACGAAGACUGACGCUCAGGUGCGAAAGCGUGGGGAGCAAACAGGAUUAGAUACCCUGGUAGUCCACGCCGUAAACGAUGUCGACUUGGAGGUUGUGCCCUUGAGGCGUGGCUUCCGGAGCUAACGCGUUAAGUCGACCGCCUGGGGAGUACGGCCGCAAGGUUAAAACUCAAAUGAAUUGACGGGGGCCCGCACAAGCGGUGGAGCAUGUGGUUUAAUUCGAUGCAACGCGAAGAACCUUACCUGGUCUUGACAUCCACGGAAGUUUUCAGAGAUGAGAAUGUGCCUUCGGGAACCGUGAGACAGGUGCUGCAUGGCUGUCGUCAGCUCGUGUUGUGAAAUGUUGGGUUAAGUCCCGCAACGAGCGCAACCCUUAUCCUUUGUUGCCAGCGGUCCGGCCGGGAACUCAAAGGAGACUGCCAGUGAUAAACUGGAGGAAGGUG